GGGUUGUGAGGUUAAGCGACUAAGCGUACACGGUGGAUGCCCUGGCAGUCAGAGGCGAUGAAGGACGUGCUAAUCUGCGAUAAGCGUCGGUGAGGUGAUAUGAACCGUUAUAACCGGCGAUUUCCGAAUGGGGAAACCCAGUGUGUUUCGACACACUAUCAUUAACUGAAUCCAUAGGUUAAUGAGGCGAACCGGGGGAACUGAAACAUCUAAGUACCCCGAGGAAAAGAAAUCAACCGAGAUUCCCCCAGUAGCGGCGAGCGAACGGGGAGGAGCCCAGAGCCUGAAUCAGUGUGUGUGUUAGUGGAAGCGUCUGGAAAGGCGUGCGAUACAGGGUGACAGCCCCGUACACAAAAAUGCACAUAUUGUGAGCUCGAUGAGUAGGGCGGGACACGUGGUAUCCUGUCUGAAUAUGGGGGGACCAUCCUCCAAGGCUAAAUACUCCUGACUGACCGAUAGUGAACCAGUACCGUGAGGGAAAGGCGAAAAGAACCCCGGCGAGGGGAGUGAAAAAGAACCUGAAACCGUGUACGUACAAGCAGUGGGAGCCUCUUAAUGGGGUGACUGCGUACCUUUUGUAUAAUGGGUCAGCGACUUAUAUUCUGUAGCAAGGUUAACCGAAUAGGGGAGCCGAAGGGAAACCGAGUCUUAACUGGGCGUUAAGUUGCAGGGUAUAGACCCGAAACCCGGUGAUCUAGCCAUGGGCAGGUUGAAGGUUGGGUAACACUAACUGGAGGACCGAACCGACUAAUGUUGAAAAAUUAGCGGAUGACUUGUGGCUGGGGGUGAAAGGCCAAUCAAACCGGGAGAUAGCUGGUUCUCCCCGAAAGCUAUUUAGGUAGCGCCUCGUGAAUUCAUCUCCGGGGGUAGAGCACUGUUUCGGCAAGGGGGUCAUCCCGACUUACCAACCCGAUGCAAACUGCGAAUACCGGAGAAUGUUAUCACGGGAGACACACGGCGGGUGCUAACGUCCGUCGUGAAGAGGGAAACAACCCAGACCGCCAGCUAAGGUCCCAAAGUCAUGGUUAAGUGGGAAACGAUGUGGGAAGGCCCAGACAGCCAGGAUGUUGGCUUAGAAGCAGCCAUCAUUUAAAGAAAGCGUAAUAGCUCACUGGUCGAGUCGGCCUGCGCGGAAGAUGUAACGGGGCUAAACCAUGCACCGAAGCUGCGGCAGCGACACUAUGUGUUGUUGGGUAGGGGA
This 1201-nucleotide ribosomal RNA is filed under the name Escherichia coli. Its description in RNAcentral is "partial 23S ribosomal RNA". It matches the Rfam family "Bacterial large subunit ribosomal RNA", at positions 1 to 1235 of the family's 2925-position model. Lineage: Bacteria; Pseudomonadati; Pseudomonadota; Gammaproteobacteria; Enterobacterales; Enterobacteriaceae. The record is from RNAcentral.